AAGGGAAAGAAAAGCGUCUGAA
This 22-nucleotide microRNA is filed under the name Oreochromis niloticus (Nile tilapia). RNAcentral's name for it is "oni-miR-10556a". The record is from miRBase by way of RNAcentral. Lineage: Eukaryota; Metazoa; Chordata; Actinopteri; Cichliformes; Cichlidae.